Molecule: ribosomal RNA, 419 nt
Filed under: Ligilactobacillus murinus
Lineage: Bacteria; Bacillati; Bacillota; Bacilli; Lactobacillales; Lactobacillaceae
Description: bacterial SSU rRNA
Rfam family: Bacterial small subunit ribosomal RNA
Source: RNAcentral
AAACUUCUUUAUCACCGAGUGCUUGCACUCACCGAUAAAGAGUUGAGUGGCGAACGGGUGAGUAACACGUGGGCAACCUGCCCAAAAGAGGGGGAUAACACUUGGAAACAGGUGCUAAUACCGCAUAACCAUAGUUACCGCAUGGUAACUAUGUAAAAGGUGGCUAUGCUACCGCUUUUGGAUGGGCCCGCGGCGCAUUAGCUAGUUGGUGAGGUAAAGGCUUACCAAGGCAAUGAUGCGUAGCCGAACUGAGAGGUUGAUCGGCCACAUUGGGACUGAGACACGGCCCAAACUCCUACGGGAGGCAGCAGUAGGGAAUCUUCCACAAUGGGCGAAAGCCUGAUGGAGCAACGCCGCGUGGGUGAAGAAGGUCUUCGGAUCGUAAAACCCUGUUGUUAGAGAAGAAAGUGCGUGAGAGU